AUUGAACGCUGGCGGCAGGCCUAACACAUGCAAGUCGAGCGGAUGAAGGGAGCUUGCUCCUGGAUUCAGCGGCGGACGGGUGAGUAAUGCCUAGGAAUCUGCCUGGUAGUGGGGGAUAACGUCCGGAAACGGGCGCUAAUACCGCAUACGUCCUGAGGGAGAAAGUGGGGGAUCUUCGGACCUCACGCUAUCAGAUGAGCCUAGGUCGAAUUAGCUAGUUGGUGGGGUAAAGGCCUACCAAGGCGACGAUCCGUAACUGGUCUGAGAGGAUGAUCAGUCACACUGGAACUGAGACACGGUCCAGACUCCUACGGGAGGCAGCAGUGGGGAAUAUUGGACAAUGGGCGAAAGCCUGAUCCAGCCAUGCCGCGUGUGUGAAGAAGGUCUUCGGAUUGUAAAGCACUUUAAGUUGGGAGGAAGGGCAGCAAGUUAAUACCUUGCUGUUUUGACGUUACCAACAGAAUAAGCACCGGCUAACUUCGUG
This 484-nucleotide ribosomal RNA is filed under the name uncultured bacterium. Its description in RNAcentral is "partial 16S ribosomal RNA". It matches the Rfam family "Bacterial small subunit ribosomal RNA", at positions 30 to 507 of the family's 1533-position model. The record is from RNAcentral.